This 1628-nucleotide small RNA is filed under the name Microcoleus sp. OTC_3B. RNAcentral's name for it is "bacterial SSU rRNA". The stretch from base 1 to 1170 matches the Rfam family "Bacterial small subunit ribosomal RNA", at positions 361 to 1533 of the family's 1533-position model. The record is from RNAcentral. Lineage: Bacteria; Bacillati; Cyanobacteriota; Cyanophyceae; Oscillatoriales; Microcoleaceae.
AUUUUCCGCAAUGGGCGAAAGCCUGACGGAGCAAGACCGCGUGGGGGAAGAAGGCUCUUGGGUUGUAAACCCCUUUUCUCUGGGAAGAAAGUUGUGAAAGCAGCCUGACGGUACCAGAGGAAUCAGCAUCGGCUAACUCCGUGCCAGCAGCCGCGGUAAGACGGAGGAUGCAAGCGUUAUCCGGAAUGAUUGGGCGUAAAGCGUCCGCAGGUGGCAGUUCAAGUCUGCUGUCAAAGACCGGGGCUCAACCUCGGAAAGGCAGUGGAAACUGAACAGCUAGAGUAUGGUAGGGGCAAAGGGAAUUCCUGGUGUAGCGGUGAAAUGCGUAGAGAUCAGGAAGAACAUCGGUGGCGAAGGCGCUUUGCUGGACCAUAACUGACACUCAGGGACGAAAGCUAGGGGAGCGAAUGGGAUUAGAUACCCCAGUAGUCCUAGCCGUAAACGAUGGAUACUAGGUGUUGUCUGUAUCGACCCGGACAGUGCCGUAGCUAACGCGUUAAGUAUCCCGCCUGGGGAGUACGCACGCAAGUGUGAAACUCAAAGGAAUUGACGGGGGCCCGCACAAGCGGUGGAGUAUGUGGUUUAAUUCGAUGCAACGCGAAGAACCUUACCAGGACUUGACAUGUCGCGAAUCCUCUGGAAACAGAGGAGUGCCUUAGGGAGCGCGAACACAGGUGGUGCAUGGCUGUCGUCAGCUCGUGUCGUGAGAUGUUGGGUUAAGUCCCGCAACGAGCGCAACCCUCGUGUUUAGUUGCCAUCAUUAAGUUGGGCACUCUAAACAGACUGCCGGUGACAAACCGGAGGAAGGUGGGGAUGACGUCAAGUCAGCAUGCCCCUUACGUCCUGGGCUACACACGUACUACAAUGGUAGGGACAAAGGGCAGCCAACCCGCGAGGGCGAGCUAAUCCCGUAAACCCUGCCUCAGUUCAGAUUGCAGGCUGCAACUCGCCUGCAUGAAGGCGGAAUCGCUAGUAAUCGCAGGUCAGCAUACUGCGGUGAAUCCGUUCCCGGGCCUUGUACACACCGCCCGUCACACCAUGGAAGUUGGCCACGCCCGAAGUCAUUACUCUAACCUUUCGAGGAGGAGGAUGCCGAAGGCAGGGCUGAUGACUGGGGUGAAGUCGUAACAAGGUAGCCGUACCGGAAGGUGUGGCUGGAUCACCUCCUUUUAGGGAGACCAUCUGAGACACUACCGAACCUAAAGAAUAGGUAGUAAUCAGUUAUCCCUGGUCGUUCGAGAAAUAGAUGUCAAAGCUUUCAAACUAUUAACUGGUUCGGGAAAUGGGCUAUUAGCUCAGUUGGUUAGAGCGCACCCCUGAUAAGGGUGAGGUCCCUGGUUCAAAUCCAGGAUGGCCCACCUGGAAACAAAAGUAAUGAAUUUAAAGCAAUGAUUCCUGGAUGAUUAAUCCCAGAGUCAGAGCCGAAAAAUCAGAACUUGCUUAGUGGGGGUAUAGCUCAGUUGGUAGAGCGCCUGCCUUGCACGCAGGAAGUCAGCGGUUCGAGUCCGCUUACCUCCACUCUCACUCGCUACCUAACUACCUAACUAAAACCACAACCAAAAAAGAGAAGAUCAGAGAAAUCAGCACCUAGACUAUCUAAAAGAAAGUCGGAAUGCUGGAGUCUAAGA